CCCGGGCCUUGUACCACACCGCCCGUCACGGCCACGAAAGUUGGCUCGAACCCGAAGUCGCUAACCCAACCGCCAAGGAGGGGAGGUGCCAACGGUCUGGUCGAUGAUUGGGGUG
RNAcentral lists this ribosomal RNA (115 nucleotides) under uncultured bacterium. Its description in RNAcentral is "partial 16S ribosomal RNA". The record is from RNAcentral.